AGUGAACGCUGGCGGCAGGCCUAACACAUGCAAGUCGAGCGGCAGCGGGUUCCCGCGAGGGGAUGCCGGCGAGCGGCGGACGGGUGAGGAACACAUCGGAAUCUGCCUGGUUGUGGGGGAUAACGUAGGGAAACUUACGCUAAUACCGCAUGCGACCCUGAGUCGACGGACUGGGGGUGAAGUGAGGGACCUUCGGCCGUCACGCGACCAGAUGAGCCGAUGUCGG
Molecule: ribosomal RNA, 226 nt
Filed under: uncultured bacterium
Lineage: Bacteria
Description: partial 16S ribosomal RNA
Rfam family: Bacterial small subunit ribosomal RNA
Source: RNAcentral